Apis cerana (Asiatic honeybee) is the source of this 1635-nucleotide long non-coding RNA. RefSeq lists it as uncharacterized. Lineage: Eukaryota; Metazoa; Arthropoda; Insecta; Hymenoptera; Apidae. The record is from RefSeq and is a predicted model, not a curated record.
GGUAUGCGGUCUGCCAGUAAACUCUUCCCGACGAAACGUGUCGCGAAUCGUACGAUGAUCGCUGAGAACAACCACCAGUUGCGUACCAAGCCGGGCACUGAACAUUGGACCAUAUUUUUUCGCUAGCUCUCCGUACCUGAGCCAUUGCAAGCAUCUAGCAACCAGCAAUACACCUAGGAACACGAGAAACGUGCAAAGGACCUCGAUUCUCGUGCCGCCCAUUGCUUGCCAAGCCCAUUGUGCAGCGUGCUCCACUAACAUCGCGCGAUGUUUCAAUUACGCCGUACGAUUUUUCAACACGCCUUUGUCCUUUCCGCGAUAAAUGUAUAAUCCUCUUACUGCACGACACGUAUAUAUCUCUCCUUCCACCGAGACUUCUUCUUCCGAGAUUUUAUUAAUUUCACUCUUCUUCCCUCCUUCGUCGAUCCUAUGUCAUCUAUGAUACUCUUCCUUCCUUCUUUUAUUUUCUAUUAUUGCGCCUUCUUUCCUCUUCCUUCUUCCUCGUACCCGCUUCCUUCCUUUUCCUCCCUCCCUUCUCUUCCCGUUGCUCUUUCGUCCACCUUGAUUUUCUUCGACCUCUAAUCUUAUUCGCUCCUGCUUCCCUCUCUCUUUCUCUCUCUCUCUUUCUCUCUCUCUCUUCUCUUUCUCUCCCUCCCUCCCUCUCUCUCUCUCUCUCUCUCCUUUCUCCCCGUAUCACCUCUUCUUAUCUCUGUUGCCGCCUUUCAACCCUCUCUCUCUCCCUCUCUCUCUCUCUCUCUCUUCUCACUUUUCUUCUUUCCCUUUCGCUUUCUACGCCUCUUUCCUCUUUCUUUUUUCUUUCCCCCUUUUCUUUCCUUCCUUUCCCCCUUUCCUUCCUUUCCCUUCGCCGUCCGAUACGAUUAUCCAACACGACGCCUCGAACAGAGAAAACACGCCUCGCGAGCCUCCCCUUCUGAGCUGAUUUCGUACCGGCGCGAACACAAUUUUCCUACUCGAAACGAUGCUUCCGAAAUUCGCGGCUUUAAGUAUCAAAUCUGACCAAGUUGGUGGGGCAUAAUCUGGAGGGGAAUAUAUGAAAAAAGAGGGGAGAAGGAGAGCGCGCGUGUGCGUGUACGUGAUCGUAUUCGCACACGCACGUGUUGUACGAGAGAGGAUAAUUAGAUUGAUUUAUCAAAAAAAAAAAAAAAAGAAAAAAGAAGAAAGCAAAAAAAAAAAAAUAUCUUCGACCGAUUCGAAACAAGAAUCGGGUAUUAGCCCGUUGAUUAAUUCGAGGAAAAUAGGGAAUAAAAUAAGGGGGGAAAAAUGAUCGAAAGAACUAUACGAAUAUAUAUAUAUAUAUGUGUGUGUGUGUAUAUAAAACCUAUAUAUGUAUAUAUAUAUAUAUACAUAUAUAUACAUAUAUAGGUAUCCACCUAUAAGACGAACCUGGUAGAAAGAACCGUAGAGUGUAGCAGCUGAAUGUAGAAAGAGCGCGAGUGGGAGUGAGUAACGUGCACGCACAGGUGAUAAACGCGCUCGCUUAUGCUUACGCACUAAGGGAAGAAACGUGGUGGGAGUGUCAAUGGGAACCAAAGGACGAUUGAAAACGGAGAAAGAAAGGGUGGAGGGAAGAAAGACAGAGGGGAGAGAGAGAGAGAGAAGGAGGGAGGGAGGGAG